This 465-nucleotide ribosomal RNA is filed under the name uncultured bacterium. Its description in RNAcentral is "partial 16S ribosomal RNA". It matches the Rfam family "Bacterial small subunit ribosomal RNA", at positions 338 to 795 of the family's 1533-position model. The record is from RNAcentral.
CCUACGGGCGGCAGCAGUAGGGAAUCUUCCACAAUGGGCGAAAGCCUGAUGGAGCAACGCCGCGUGGGUGAAGAAGGUCUUCGGAUCGUAAAACUCUGUUGUUAGAGAAGAAAGUGCGUGAGAGUAACUGUUCACGUUUCGACGGUAUCUAACCAGAAAGCCACGGCUAACUACGUGCCAGCAGCCGCGGUAAUACGUAGGUGGCAAGCGUUAUCCGGAUUUAUUGGGCGUAAAGGUAACGCAGGCGGUCUUUUAAGUCUGAUGUGAAAGCCUUCGGCUUAACCGGAGUAGUGCAUUGGAAACUGGGAGACUUGAGUGCAGAAGAGGAGAGUGGAACUCCAUGUGUAGCGGUGAAAUGCGUAGAUAUAUGGAAGAACACCAGUGGCGAAGGCGGCUCUCUGGUCUGUAACUGACGCUGAGGUUCGAAAGCGUGGGUAGCAAACAGGAUUAGAUACCCUAGUAGUC